Long non-coding RNA from Notolabrus celidotus (New Zealand spotty), 737 nucleotides. RefSeq lists it as uncharacterized. NCBI's taxonomy places the organism in Eukaryota, Metazoa, Chordata, Actinopteri, Labriformes, Labridae. The transcript has 3 exons. The record is from RefSeq and is a predicted model, not a curated record.
CAUCAUAUCUGACAUCGAGCAAAGUUCAAUCAGACGCUUUGGGGCACCAAUAAAGAGUGAGACUGCACUUCCCUUCUGAUAGGUUAACCACAAAGAACCUCUCCAUGCCAACAAGCAGAGCGGAGCUGUACUUUCUCUUUCUACCCACGUAAGCAACAGUUUGUGACUUCUAUGCUUUAAACCACUCAUCAUUGUGUUUGCACCACCUCUUAAUGGAAACUUGUUAGCUGGAAGCCCCCACAGCUUCCACCUGGUCAGCCUGAAGCCCACCAUGUCACACGAUUUCUGUGAGGGGAGAUGGAACAUGGUGGCUAGCUACCGCACUAAUCAAACUGAGAGUGACUCAUUCAUAGAAGUCCUACAUGGAUUAGACUUCUAAUCAAAGAAAGCUGGGUUUGACAUUUUAUUUAGUGAGUCAGAUCGGUGCCAUUUAGAUGUGUGUGGCUAAUUAACUGCUCUGUGAACCCUGGGAGGCAUAGGUUGAGUUUAACAUUUGGAGAGACAUAAAGUAUAAUGAUAGUUCAAGCCCGAUACAAAAUGAAACAGUAAUGUACGUAUAUCUGUAUUUGUAUGUUGUGCAUUACCACUAUGUUCUGCAGUUGAAAAAAAAACUUUCAAUGCAGAACAUAGUGGUACACCAUAACCACCGUGUUCAUAGAAAAACCUAUACAUAGAUUUCAAUACACAAAUGUUUGACUUUGAAAAUGUAAUGCUUCACUUAUUGUUCAUAAUCAAGA